CUCAGCAAUUGCUUGAUGCAUAUGUUUCUGGAUUCUCUAUGUACUAACCCCCUACUCCAGCCUAGAGUCUACCCUGCACCUAGCCGUAUUCCAGUCCUGUCACAGCACUGCUCCUGCUUUUCCUGACUUCAGAGCUAGAUCCUACAGAUCUUCAACUGCCAUCAGUGGGAGUUUUGCCCAUGUAAGGACUGCAGGAUGGGACCCAGAACAUUCAAUGAAAAAGGAGGAGACUUGCACAGAGGCCAAGAAUGUAGAAGCAUUUCUCAUUCCUGCUGGUACAAGUGGUUCUGCACAAUCAAUAUCUUUUUGGCACUGCACAGGCAAUAUUGAUGUUAUCUGAGUGCAGUAGCAAUUCUAGUUGCUUCCAAACACUACAUUAUUUAUGACUGCAAAUGAAUGUAUGCAAGCAAUGGAGAUUCACAUCCCUAAUUACAUUAGUGCCUGGCACUAGGGCCUGGGAAUUUACUGCAGCAGUAAAUUAAUGACUCCGAGGAUAAACACCAUAGAAAUCAAUCUUGUAGAAAACGACAGAUUUGCUGAUAUGAGAAGACUGUGGGAACAGAUGCAGCUCACCUUUUAGAUAUGACUAAAUUUAAUGGCUGUGAUAACUGGUUCCUAAGUUAGUGAGAUCAGUUCUUCAAAAUGUGCUGUUUAACCAGGGCUGUAAAGGGUACCUAGGGCAGCAUGGAGUCCUAGUUAAAAAUUCUCCAUGAAGUUGAAGGGAAGCUGGGAUGAUUUCUCUGGUCUGGGAAAUGAUUUCACCCCUCUCUGGACAUUUACACUUCUGAAGAGCCUAAUUAUUUUUUUGCCUUUGGAAUACACCAGACCGCACAAACUACUGUAUGUAUUUAUUUUAAACUCCAGGGGAGCAUCCCCCCUUCAGCUCUUCCA
Mauremys mutica (yellowpond turtle) is the source of this 891-nucleotide long non-coding RNA. RefSeq lists it as uncharacterized. The record is from RefSeq and is a predicted model, not a curated record. The transcript is spliced from 3 exons. NCBI's taxonomy places the organism in Eukaryota, Metazoa, Chordata, Testudines, Geoemydidae.